Molecule: ribosomal RNA, 206 nt
Filed under: uncultured bacterium
Lineage: Bacteria
Description: partial 16S ribosomal RNA
Rfam family: Bacterial small subunit ribosomal RNA
Source: RNAcentral
CUCGUAGGUGGCCAACUAAGUCAGACGUGAAAUCCCUCAGCUUAACUGGGGAACUGCGUCUGAUACUGGAUGGCUUGAGAUUGGGAGAGGGAUGCGGAAUUCCAGGUGUAGCGGUGAAAUGCGUAGAUAUCUGGAGGAACACCGGUGGCGAAGGCGGCAUCCUGGACCAACACUGACACUGAGGAGCGAAAGCCAGGGGAGCAAAC